GGCGGAAUGACAGAGUGGUUAUGUUGCAGCUUGCAAAGCUGUGUACCCUAGUUCGAUUCUAGGUUUCCGCCUCCA
RNAcentral lists this transfer RNA (75 nucleotides) under Polynucleobacter antarcticus. Its description in RNAcentral is "Polynucleobacter sp. LimPoW16 tRNA-Cys". It matches the Rfam family "tRNA". From Rfam's summary of the family: Transfer RNA (tRNA) molecules are approximately 80 nucleotides in length. Their secondary structure includes four short double-helical elements and three loops (D, anti-codon, and T loops). Lineage: Bacteria; Pseudomonadati; Pseudomonadota; Betaproteobacteria; Burkholderiales; Burkholderiaceae. The record is from RNAcentral.